CUCUUGAGCUCUUGUGGUGACCUGGGAAUCAAUGUGUGAGGUGGUGCUAUGUAGCAGGAACCCCUCUUGCUUUGCAAAUAGUUUUUUGUUUGUUUUCCUUUUUGCCCAAUAGAGCCCUGCUCUACUGACCCUUCAAUGUGCCCGUGUGCCUAAAUAUUCCUGGUCGUGUGAAAAGAACCCAGGUAUUAGCUGAACUAAGGAGCACAAUUCUGCAACAUUUUGGCACCCAAACACGGGGCUUGAGAAAUGAUGGAGUCUUGUUCUGUGGUCCAGGCUAGAGGGCAGUGGCAUGAUCUCGGCUCACUACAAGCUCUGCCUCCCGGGUUCACGCCAUUCUCCUGCCUCAGCCUCCUGAGUAGCUGGGACUACAGGCGCCCGCCACCACGCCUGGCUAAUUUUUUGUAUAUUUACUAGAGAUGGCUAGUGUUAGCCAAGAUGGUCUCGAUCUCCUGACCUCGUGAUCUGCCCACCUCAGCCUGCCAAAGUGCUGGGAUUACUGGCGUGAGCCACCGUGCCUGGCCAGCAUCCUCUAAUUAUUAUUCAUAGUUUGUGAAUUUAGGCCUACGUGAAUAAUAAUAUAAUAUUUACUAUGAUGUUACUAUCUACCAACCUUAUUUUUCUUUUCUAUAAAAUAGGAGCCAAAAUAAUAUUUAUGUCAUACCUUAUGAAGUUAAAAUAAAAUAUAACGAAUGAGGGGCUUAA
RNAcentral lists this long non-coding RNA (702 nucleotides) under Homo sapiens (human). RNAcentral describes it as "p53 upregulated regulator of p53 levels". The record is from RNAcentral. Lineage: Eukaryota; Metazoa; Chordata; Mammalia; Primates; Hominidae.